CAAAGGUGUUCACCGAACAGACAUUACUACAAGGCUUUGCUGCCAGAGAGAGAAAAAUGCAUGUAUUUCCAUGAAGGAGCAAUGUUAGCCUGAAGCACAACAUUUCAUUGUUUUAAUUUUUUAAAUUAGUGAUGCUUUUUCUGAAGGAAGAAGCUAAGGAGUUUUGCUAAAGACCUUUCAUUGAGGCACAGUGAUCUUCCAUUCUUUCCUUUUUAGCAAUUAAUUUACUUUGCCUCCAGAGACAUUUCACAAGGAGCUACCCCUAGACAAGGAUCAAAGAUGCUUCUUACUUUUGGGGCUAGGGGGAAGUUUGGAGCAAAAACCUUCUAUUGAACCUGUGGAAUGUGCAAACUGAGCAGACAAAACUAUCUCAGAAAACAUCAGGUGUCUGGGACUUCCCAUAAACUUGAGGCCUGCGAGUUUCACAAGAUUUUGACAGUGAAAAGGAAAACCAUCAUGUGUUUUGAUAGCAGAGAAGAUACAGAAAAUCAAGGUGA
Molecule: non-coding RNA, 497 nt
Organism: Rattus norvegicus (Norway rat)
Lineage: Eukaryota; Metazoa; Chordata; Mammalia; Rodentia; Muridae
Source: RefSeq, a predicted model, not a curated record